This 2880-nucleotide ribosomal RNA is filed under the name Staphylococcus aureus VET0198R. Its description in RNAcentral is "bacterial LSU rRNA". It matches the Rfam family "Bacterial large subunit ribosomal RNA". The record is from RNAcentral. Lineage: Bacteria; Bacillati; Bacillota; Bacilli; Caryophanales; Staphylococcaceae.
UUAAGUUAUUAAGGGCGCACGGUGGAUGCCUUGGCACUAGAAGCCGAUGAAGGACGUUACUAACGACGAUAUGCUUUGGGGAGCUGUAAGUAAGCUUUGAUCCAGAGAUUUCCGAAUGGGGAAACCCAGCAUGAGUUAUGUCAUGUUAUCGAUAUGUGAAUACAUAGCAUAUCAGAAGGCACACCCGGAGAACUGAAACAUCUUAGUACCCGGAGGAAGAGAAAGAAAAUUCGAUUCCCUUAGUAGCGGCGAGCGAAACGGGAAGAGCCCAAACCAACAAGCUUGCUUGUUGGGGUUGUAGGACACUCUAUACGGAGUUACAAAGGACGACAUUAGACGAAUCAUCUGGAAAGAUGAAUCAAAGAAGGUAAUAAUCCUGUAGUCGAAAAUGUUGUCUCUCUUGAGUGGAUCCUGAGUACGACGGAGCACGUGAAAUUCCGUCGGAAUCUGGGAGGACCAUCUCCUAAGGCUAAAUACUCUCUAGUGACCGAUAGUGAACCAGUACCGUGAGGGAAAGGUGAAAAGCACCCCGGAAGGGGAGUGAAAUAGAACCUGAAACCGUGUGCUUACAAGUAGUCAGAGCCCGUUAAUGGGUGAUGGCGUGCCUUUUGUAGAAUGAACCGGCGAGUUACGAUUUGAUGCAAGGUUAAGCAGUAAAUGUGGAGCCGUAGCGAAAGCGAGUCUGAAUAGGGCGUUUAGUAUUUGGUCGUAGACCCGAAACCAGGUGAUCUACCCUUGGUCAGGUUGAAGUUCAGGUAACACUGAAUGGAGGACCGAACCGACUUACGUUGAAAAGUGAGCGGAUGAACUGAGGGUAGCGGAGAAAUUCCAAUCGAACCUGGAGAUAGCUGGUUCUCUCCGAAAUAGCUUUAGGGCUAGCCUCAAGUGAUGAUUAUUGGAGGUAGAGCACUGUUUGGACGAGGGGCCCCUCUCGGGUUACCGAAUUCAGACAAACUCCGAAUGCCAAUUAAUUUAACUUGGGAGUCAGAACAUGGGUGAUAAGGUCCGUGUUCGAAAGGGAAACAGCCCAGACCACCAGCUAAGGUCCCAAAAUAUAUGUUAAGUGGAAAAGGAUGUGGCGUUGCCCAGACAACUAGGAUGUUGGCUUAGAAGCAGCCAUCAUUUAAAGAGUGCGUAAUAGCUCACUAGUCGAGUGACACUGCGCCGAAAAUGUACCGGGGCUAAACAUAUUACCGAAGCUGUGGAUUGUCCUUUGGACAAUGGUAGGAGAGCGUUCUAAGGGCGUUGAAGCAUGAUCGUAAGGACAUGUGGAGCGCUUAGAAGUGAGAAUGCCGGUGUGAGUAGCGAAAGACGGGUGAGAAUCCCGUCCACCGAUUGACUAAGGUUUCCAGAGGAAGGCUCGUCCGCUCUGGGUUAGUCGGGUCCUAAGCUGAGGCCGACAGGCGUAGGCGAUGGAUAACAGGUUGAUAUUCCUGUACCACCUAUAAUCGUUUUAAUCGAUGGGGGGACGCAGUAGGAUAGGCGAAGCGUGCGAUUGGAUUGCACGUCUAAGCAGUAAGGCUGAGUAUUAGGCAAAUCCGGUACUCGUUAAGGCUGAGCUGUGAUGGGGAGAAGACAUUGUGUCUUCGAGUCGUUGAUUUCACACUGCCGAGAAAAGCCUCUAGAUAGAAAAUAGGUGCCCGUACCGCAAACCGACACAGGUAGUCAAGAUGAGAAUUCUAAGGUGAGCGAGCGAACUCUCGUUAAGGAACUCGGCAAAAUGACCCCGUAACUUCGGGAGAAGGGGUGCUCUUUAGGGUUAACGCCCAGAAGAGCCGCAGUGAAUAGGCCCAAGCGACUGUUUAUCAAAAACACAGGUCUCUGCUAAACCGUAAGGUGAUGUAUAGGGGCUGACGCCUGCCCGGUGCUGGAAGGUUAAGAGGAGUGGUUAGCUUCUGCGAAGCUACGAAUCGAAGCCCCAGUAAACGGCGGCCGUAACUAUAACGGUCCUAAGGUAGCGAAAUUCCUUGUCGGGUAAGUUCCGACCCGCACGAAAGGCGUAACGAUUUGGGCACUGUCUCAACGAGAGACUCGGUGAAAUCAUAGUACCUGUGAAGAUGCAGGUUACCCGCGACAGGACGGAAAGACCCCGUGGAGCUUUACUGUAGCCUGAUAUUGAAAUUCGGCACAGCUUGUACAGGAUAGGUAGGAGCCUUUGAAACGUGAGCGCUAGCUUACGUGGAGGCGCUGGUGGGAUACUACCCUAGCUGUGUUGGCUUUCUAACCCGCACCACUUAUCGUGGUGGGAGACAGUGUCAGGCGGGCAGUUUGACUGGGGCGGUCGCCUCCUAAAAGGUAACGGAGGCGCUCAAAGGUUCCCUCAGAAUGGUUGGAAAUCAUUCAUAGAGUGUAAAGGCAUAAGGGAGCUUGACUGCGAGACCUACAAGUCGAGCAGGGUCGAAAGACGGACUUAGUGAUCCGGUGGUUCCGCAUGGAAGGGCCAUCGCUCAACGGAUAAAAGCUACCCCGGGGAUAACAGGCUUAUCUCCCCCAAGAGUUCACAUCGACGGGGAGGUUUGGCACCUCGAUGUCGGCUCAUCGCAUCCUGGGGCUGUAGUCGGUCCCAAGGGUUGGGCUGUUCGCCCAUUAAAGCGGUACGCGAGCUGGGUUCAGAACGUCGUGAGACAGUUCGGUCCCUAUCCGUCGUGGGCGUAGGAAAUUUGAGAGGAGCUGUCCUUAGUACGAGAGGACCGGGAUGGACAUACCUCUGGUGUACCAGUUGUCGUGCCAACGGCAUAGCUGGGUAGCUAUGUGUGGACGGGAUAAGUGCUGAAAGCAUCUAAGCAUGAAGCCCCCCUCAAGAUGAGAUUUCCCAACUUCGGUUAUAAGAUCCCUCAAAGAUGAUGAGGUUAAUAGGUUCGAGGUGGAAGCAUGGUGACA